Non-coding RNA from Camellia sinensis, 845 nucleotides. The record is from RefSeq and is a predicted model, not a curated record. Lineage: Eukaryota; Viridiplantae; Streptophyta; Magnoliopsida; Ericales; Theaceae.
CCUCAAAUCUCUUAUUCUCUCUCUCUCUAAACCCUUCAACUCGAUUCAACCUUCUUCAGCUCGGUGAUUUAUCAUUCGGUCGAUCCAAUCUCAGAAUGAUUUUGAUUUCGAAGCUCCACCUCCACCGCCACCGCCACCGCCACCACCAUCUGCCUCUGCAUCUACAUCGUCUAUUAAGCAUCUGCACGAUCUCAAUUUCAAUCCAAUCUUAGUUUUAUCGAUUCUUCUCUCUCUCUCUCUCUCUCUCUCUCUCUCUCUCUCGAUCUCUGUCUUUGUCUCUAUCUUUAUCUCCCUCUCUCUCGAUCUCUCAAUCUCUCUCUCAUAAUGAUUUUGGUUUUGUUGACAAAUUUUGUGACAAAAAUUAGGGGUUUGUGGCUUUCAUCGUUUAUUAACACAAGAUUGUGGAGCUUUAACUCCCAUCUUUGCUUUCGAUUGCUGGUUAGAUGGUGAUUUGCUGUGGUUUUUUAUUUUGUUUAUUUGUUUAUUUUUUGUAGUGGUAUUUUUCUGGUAGAAUGAAGAUACUUAUACAUUUGUCAAAGAAGAUAGGUCACCAACAAUUAUUUCCAUUCCAAAGUCAUCUGACAGUGUCUCCUCUAGUUCAUCACGGAGCAAGACUCGGGGGAGGUUAACUUGCAAAGAUCUGCAAUUGCACAAGUUGGUAUUUCAGGAUGAUGCACUACCUGAUGGAACUGAACCAGCUUAUUUUGUUCGUGGGCAGGUUGUUAAGAAGAGCACAUACAUAUUAUUAUUUUGGUUUAAGGAAAUGUUUAUGUUGCUUUUUAUAAAGAUCAAAUGUAUUAAACAAUUAACAUAUAUAUUUUUUUUAUUUUUUGUGGAAACAACGC